UGGUGGCGAGCGGCGGACGGGUGAGUAAUGCCUAGGAAUCUGCCUAGUAGUGGGGGAUAACGUCCGGAAACGGGCGCUAAUACCGCAUACGUCCUACGGGAGAAAGUGGGGGAUCUUCGGACCUCACGCUAUUAGAUGAGCCUAGGUCGGAUUAGCUAGUUGGUGAGGUAAUGGCUCACCAAGGCGACGAUCCGUAACUGGUCUGAGAGGAUGAUCAGUCACACUGGAACUGAGACACGGUCCAGACUCCUACGGGAGGCAGCAGUGAGGAAUAUUGGACGAUGGGCGAACGCCUGAUCCAGCCAUGCCGCGUGUGUGAAGAAGGUCUUCGGAUUGUAAAGCACUUUAAGUUGGGAGGAAGGGCAGUUACCUAAUACGUGAUUGUUUUGACGUUACCGACAGAAUAAGCACCGGCUAACUCUGUGCCAGCAGCCGCGGUAAUACAGAGGGUGCAAGCGUUAAUCGGAAUUACUGGGCGUAAAGCGCGCGUAGGUGGUUUGUUAAGUUGGAUGUGAAAAGCCCCGGGCUCAACCUGGGAACUGCAUCCAAAAACUGGCAAGCUAGAGUAUGGUAGAGGGUGGUGGAAUUUCCUGUGUAGCGGUGAAGAUGCGUAGAUAUAGGGAAGGAACCCCAGUGGCGAAGGGCGACCACCCUGGACUGAUACUGACACUGAGGUGCCAAAACGUGGGGGAACAAACAGGAUUAGAUACCCUGGUAGUCCACGCCGUAAACAAUGUCAACUA
This 743-nucleotide ribosomal RNA is filed under the name Pseudomonas protegens. Its description in RNAcentral is "bacterial SSU rRNA". It matches the Rfam family "Bacterial small subunit ribosomal RNA", at positions 86 to 818 of the family's 1533-position model. The record is from RNAcentral. Lineage: Bacteria; Pseudomonadati; Pseudomonadota; Gammaproteobacteria; Pseudomonadales; Pseudomonadaceae.